AUAUCAAUAAGCGGAGGAAAAGAAACCAACAGGGAUUGCCCCAGUAACGGCGAGUGAAGCGGCAACAGCUCAAAUUUGAAAUCUGGCCCCCAGGCCCGAGUUGUAAUUUGCAGAGGAUGCUUCUGGCGACGCGCCUUCCGAGUUCCCUGGAACGGGACGCCAUAGAGGGUGAGAGCCCCGUCCGGUCGUGCGCCUAGCCUGUGUGAAGCUCCUUCGACGAGUCGAGUAGUUUGGGAAUGCUGCUCUAAAUGGGAGGUAUACGUCUUCUAAAGCUAAAUACCGGCCAGAGACCGAUAGCGCACAAGUAGAGUGAUCGAAAGAUGAAAAGCACUUUGAAAAGAGGGUUAAAUAGUACGUGAAAUUGCUGAAAGGGAAGCGCUUAUGACCAGACUUGGGCCCGGUGAAUCACCAGCGUUCUCGCUGGUGCACUUUGCCGGCCCAGGCCAGCAUCAGUUCGUGCCGGGGGAUAAAGGCUUCGGGAAUGUAGCUCCCUCGGGAGUGUUAUAGACCGUUGCGUAAUACCCUGGCGCGGACUGAGGUACGCGUUCUGCAAGGAUGCUGCCGUAAUGGUCAUCAGUGACCCGUCUUGAAACACGGACCAAGGAGUCGUCUUUGUAUGCGAGUGUUCGGGUGUCAAACCCCUACGCGUAAUGAAAGUGAACGUAGGAGAGAGCUUCGGCGCAUCUCCGACCGAUCCUGAUGUUCUCGGAUGGAUUUGAGUAAGAGCAUACAGGGCCGGACCCGAAAGAAGGUGAACUAUGCCUGUAUAGGGUGAAGCCAGAGGAAACUCUGGUGGAGGCUCGCAGCGGUUCUGACGUGCAAAUCGAUCGUGAAAUAUGGGCAUGGGGGCGAAAGACUAAUCGAACC
Molecule: ribosomal RNA, 867 nt
Filed under: Hapsidospora globosa
Lineage: Eukaryota; Fungi; Ascomycota; Sordariomycetes; Hypocreales; Bionectriaceae
Description: eukaryotic LSU rRNA
Rfam family: Eukaryotic large subunit ribosomal RNA
Source: RNAcentral